RNAcentral lists this ribosomal RNA (347 nucleotides) under uncultured bacterium. RNAcentral's name for it is "partial 16S ribosomal RNA". It matches the Rfam family "Bacterial small subunit ribosomal RNA", at positions 338 to 682 of the family's 1533-position model. The record is from RNAcentral.
CCUACGGGAGGCAGCAGUGAGGAAUAUUGGUCAAUGGGCGAGAGUCUGAACCAGCCAAGUAGCGUGAAGGAUGACUGCCCUAAGGGGUGUAAACUGCAUGUAUAAAGGAAUAAAGUGAGGCACGUGUGCCUUUUUGUAUGUACUUUAUGAAUAAGGAUCGGCUAACUCCGUGCCAGCAGCCGCGGUAAUACGGAGGAUCCGAGCGUUAUCCGGAUUUAUUGGUUUUAAAGGGAGCGUAGAGGGGUUGUUAAGUCAGUUGUGAAAGUUUGCGGCUCAACCGUAAAAUUGCAAUUGAUACUGGCAGCCUUGAGUACAGUUGCGGUAGGCGGAAUUCGUGGUGUAGCGGU